Molecule: transfer RNA, 79 nt
Filed under: Blumeria graminis f. sp. tritici 96224
Lineage: Eukaryota; Fungi; Ascomycota; Leotiomycetes; Helotiales; Erysiphaceae
Rfam family: tRNA
About the family: Transfer RNA (tRNA) molecules are approximately 80 nucleotides in length. Their secondary structure includes four short double-helical elements and three loops (D, anti-codon, and T loops). Further hydrogen bonds mediate the characteristic L-shaped molecular structure. tRNAs have two regions of fundamental functional importance: the anti-codon, which is responsible for specific mRNA codon recognition, and the 3' end, to which the tRNAs corresponding amino acid is attached (by aminoacyl-tRNA synthetases). tRNAs cope with the degeneracy of the genetic code in two manners: having more than one tRNA (with a specific anti-codon) for a particular amino acid; and 'wobble' base-pairing, i.e. permitting non-standard base-pairing at the 3rd anti-codon position.
Source: Rfam by way of RNAcentral
UCUUUGAUGGUCUAACGGUCAUGAUUUCCGCUUGUCAUACAGUCCGCGGGAGACCGGGGUUCGACUCCCCGUCAGAGAG